UACAGAGGGGGCAAGCGUUGUUCGGAAUUACUGGGCGUAAAGGGCGCGUAGGCGGCCCGCUAAGUCGAACGUGAAAUCCCCGGGCUCAACCCGGGAACUGCGUCCGAUACUGGCAGGCUUGAAUCCGGGAGAGGGAUGCGGAAUUCCAGGUGUAGCGGUGAAAUGCGUAGAUAUCUGGAGGAACACCGGUGGCGAAGGCGGCAUCCGGGACCGGUAUUGACGCUGAGGCGCGAAAGCCAGGGGAGCAAACGGG
Molecule: ribosomal RNA, 253 nt
Filed under: uncultured bacterium
Lineage: Bacteria
Description: partial 16S ribosomal RNA
Rfam family: Bacterial small subunit ribosomal RNA
Source: RNAcentral